CGACAAUUCUCGACUGAUUAGCAGAUCUUUGCAUCUAAAAGCUCUGGUGUUUUCAAAUACAAAGACUUGAAUACAGUGAACAGAUUAUUCUAGGAAAGUUAAUACAAGGCUCCAAGACAUUGAUCAAAAUUCAAUGUACUACAUAUGUGAAGAUCUAUGGUAAGGAAAUAAUUCUUUCAAACCAAGAAAAACUUCAUCCAUCACUUUCUUUCUUUCUUUCUUUUUUUGAGCUGGGGAUUAGGGGAGUGGGUUUGCCAGGUGAGAUAUAUGCCUUCGGCCACUUAAUCAAACCAGACUAGACAAUGCCCUUUUCUAUCUUAUUACAUCCCAUUAUGCUUUUUAUAGCACUGAUACAUUAAUGAAAUCCUAAUCAAGGAUUGAUUCUCUCUUAUAGCACCAGUGCAAUGUCCAGGGAUGCAUCAUCCAGGUGAUCAUGCGAUUACUCUCCCUUCUUCAAGGACCUCGUAACUGCAACAGCAACGUGAACAUCAUCUUUUGGAAGGUUUUAUGGAACCAUUCUUUUCAGUUAAGCAGGAUAACAGAUGGGUUGGUGAAUACAGUUUUGGCUCCACUGUCUCAGUUCAUGCUGGGGAUUAAACACAUCUGAUAUUCUCAUGCUCUUCAGGUUCAUUCGUCGCACCUCCAAAUUCUCUCCCCACAUCAGCACAUUCAGAUCUUCUUUCCUCAGCACUGUUAUGAACAAUCCUGGAGUCUUCAUUCCCUGGCUCAGAAUGUCGUGCAGAUUGUGAUUCACCAAAAGACUCUGUUGGCCCUGAUUGAACAGAUAUUUCAUCACUAUUCCCUGCCACAGAAGAAUCCUGACGAGUUUCUGCUUCAUUAUUAGGUAAUUCACUUGGAACUUUAGCAGAUGCAAUGAGGGAAAGGCGGCAGAGAGGGCAAGUAGUGUGAUUGGCAAGCCACUGGUCAAUGCACUCCAUGUGAAAUGUGUGGCCACAUGCAGGUAUCUGUUGAAGCCUAUCCUCUGCUUGGUAGUCCCCUAAGCAUACGGGGCAUUGUGUGUCUUUGACAGAGAAGCUCUCCUUAUACACAAUAAUGGGUAACAUCUCUCUCAUCUCUUUCUUCAAGCCCAAUUCAGCUCUAAAGAUAUCAUUGCUGUCUUGUAAAUUAGCUCGCAUUCGAAGAGAGGCCCAAUCAACACUUCUAUGGCGAAGAUAGAACAAGUAGAACAAGAAGAGGAGAAUCAAGGUGAAGAAAAUAGGCACGAAGAAGAUGAAAGCUUGAUAUAGCUUCAGUUCAGUUGAAGCUGCAGAAGAAGAAGGAGGAGGAGGAGGCGACGACGACGACGCAUCGCAUCGGCGCAGGUGGCUGGAUCACCGGUUCGGUAAGUAUGUCAUCUCACGUAUACAGAAGUCCCCACCGGGGAGGUUUUAC
Molecule: unclassified non-coding RNA, 1392 nt
Filed under: Hevea brasiliensis (rubber tree)
Lineage: Eukaryota; Viridiplantae; Streptophyta; Magnoliopsida; Malpighiales; Euphorbiaceae
Source: RNAcentral